UGAUUUUUAAUUUGCAGUCUUGAAAAUAUAACAAUUAUUUUUUUCUUUAGUAAUUUCCAUUUUUAGUUUUAAGAAAACAUCCAUUGGGCGUAUUCUACGCAGCCGGGCGCACGCUAAUUGACUAGGCCAGUUCCCCAAAGCCCUAACACGUCCAUUUAUCUUCAUUCUAUUUGCAGCUCUUUCACGCCGCCACUCCAGUUCUCCAACACCGGUGAGCCAUUCUCCAUUCCGAUAUCUCACGAUUUUAGAUCUAAUCGUUCAUUCAUCCAUUCAAUCGAUUUCGAGAUCUAAGGUUUUAUUUUAUAUUGCGUAUAUACAUUCCUUUUAGGCCGAUAUUAAGUGGAUUUGCUGAAAAAUUGUUCUAUGCAGGGUGUUUUGUUGCAUCAUUCACCAUCUGUUUUACCAUGUGAGUAUGAUUAUUCACCUUUCAAAACGCAUCUUCGUGCAUCUAUUAUCGUUUUUUUUUUUUGGAAAUUGGGAUUUGGUAUUUUUAUCCACACAAUGAACUUCAUGUUUGCUUUUGAAAUAAUUGUUACAUUAUUAAAAAUUAGUAUACUUUCUGAGCGGUAAAUUUGUUAUUGGUUUACUGGUUAGAGCACGAUAAUGUAGCUUUUACUGAAUGAAAUUAUUUUUAAGUGCAAGAUACAAGGUUUAAGGUGUAGAAGUUGAUGAUAUGGUUUAGUAAUGUUGCCCCUUUCUGGUUAUGGAAUAAUGUCUUAAUGGAUUCAGGGAUUAUACUUUGCUAUGGCACAUUGCCAUAGGCCUCAAACAAUGAAACCUCCAGGGCUUUUUCUAGUAUUGGCAAUCUCCAUCAGAAUCCCCCCGUGAUUUGAGUCUGGGCUUUGAUUGGGACUUCCCGUGUUUCCAGUAAUCUGUCUCUUAGAAUAAUCAAGUCCAGUACUGGUUUAAAAAAGUUAUGUUGUAGAAGGGUUAUAUGAACUAUGGACUUAAAUGUUAAAAGAGAAAAGAAAGGUUAAGCUUCUACUAAGACUCUAAGAGGCUUGACCUAACUUCUGAAUAAAUUGAUUUCUCACGUUUCAAAUAACCAAGUUUGCAGCAUAUCUUGCUUAUUUUUGGCUAAAACUAUUCAACAUUUCAGAGAAAUAUUAAUUAAUACGCAGGCUACCAACCGAGCCUUCUGCUUACUUUUUGGUUGGGUAUCAAUUGCUAUAAAACGACCUCGUAUUUUAUCUUUGUUACCUUUCCUCAAUAAUGAGAAACAAUUUGAAAGAACCCAGUCUAUUUAUAAGUACCCUCACCUCUUGUGCAAACUUGAUUUGUGAAUCUAGGUCGGACGAUGAGCCUGUAGAUCCAAAGCAAGAACUUGAAGAGCGAUGCAAGGCACCAUGUACGAGACCACUUAAAGAAUAUCAGGUGAUUUAGACUGACUGGAUAUAAACUCUCAUUUUUUUUUUUUUUUUUCUAAUUUGUGUCUGUUCUGUCCAUUUUUCUAGUUUUCUGCCUUUUGUGUUCUUUUCGCCCUAUAGCUAGUAUUGCUAAAGCCUAAAUGAAAUGUUCAAUGCAUUUAAAUUUUUCAUUUUACAAUCUGAUUGGAUUCUUAAACUCCUUAUGGAGUAGAGAAAUGCAGUUUAGUACCAAUAAAAUAAUUGUGCACUAGACAAACAUCUACAGAUCUACUUUCCUAUUCCUAUUCCAUUAUGACGCUUAUUGUGACCUUGAUAUUUAAAUCGAAUGUUCAUCACCUCUAGCAAUUGAGGAUUACUACUAGAAAUGCAUGUGUGAGAUACGUGAUCCACACCUUUUUAUGCCAAGGUGAACAAUACCUACUUAGUAGAAAGCCUUGAAGAAAUUAAAUUUCUCAUGGAAAAUUACUCUGACCGCCAAAAGUAUGACAUCAGUAGCUGGGAGGAAGGGAGUUGGCUUCAAUCACAUUAAGAAACUAUUUUUAUGAACUUUUUCCGCCUUUCUUGGAUUAAUUAUAACAGAUACUCAAUCUUUUAAUUACACAGGUACCCUUGAUUGUGACAUUCAUUUAUGUUAUGUGAGCUGUCUAAUGUUAUUGGGUAUAAUGCUAGCAAAUGGUGUGGUGAGAUAUGGCCCCCGUUUGAUCCCCAUUAAAUUCAAUUACAUUACAUUCAAUUUUUCUCUCUCCUAUUUUCAACCACACAAUCUUCCAUAAAAUAAUAUUAUACGUAAAUCGAAAAUUUUUCCUUCUUUUUCAACCACUCAUUUUUCUAAAAAAUACUAUUCCCCCCAUUUUCAUUUUCAGGUAAUGGGGGUCAAACGGGGAUUGGGUUAGAAUUUAUUCAAUCAAAUAAUAAUUAAAAAAAAGCUUCCUUACAUCUGUAUAUAAACCAUUAUAUACAAGUAGUGUCUUUUUAUUUUUUUUUAUUUUAUCAUUUUGUCUUUGAAAUCUAUCAAAAAUCUUGUUAAUGACAGUUAAUACUAUUGAAAUGUAUAGCUGUAUCAAGAGAUAGUAAUGAUAUUUGAUCAUAAGAAAGUGAAAUAUAUUUAUAUAUGUUCUGUGAUUAUGUUCAAUUAUUCAUUAAGGACGUUUACUCGCUAGAACAUGAUAAAAGUUGAAUAUAUUUGUUAAAAGGUAGCUCUGAGUUAAUGUUAUUAAGGAAUUACAUGUCAGAUCGGGUCAACAUACAUAAAAUGUAACUCAGGUAUAAUGGAGCGAGUUUUAAUUAUGGUACACUCCUUGUAAAUGGGUAAAUUUAACUAGGAAAAGUUUCUAAUGGAAAGCCAUUAAUGAUCAUUUUAUGCUUAUUCCUCUGGAGGAGUUGUAUUCAGAAUUUAAUCUUUUGUGGGCGGUGUACUAGUAUUCUGACAUGUUGCAGUAUUUGUGAAUUAAUAUCCUUGAUUUCAUUGACAUUUAUGGAUAUUUUGGGCUUUCUCCAUGCAACUCCACCCACUUCAAAUCAUCUUGCAAUUUGUUUGCGUCCUCUUCUUGUUCAGAUUUGAUUCCGUACUGGCAACCACUGUUUAACUCUUCUGUGCACAUCAAACAGAUUGACAGAAAAUAAUUAUUUUGAUGGGAGAGAAUAGAGCUCAAGAAGCUCAAUUUAAUGUUGAAUUGCUUUGGUUAAUUUUGUUUAAGUUGGGUGAUUGUAAUUUUGGACCUAAGAAUCUUUGAAAUUUCCACUUUGUAGUGUAUUUUGAAAGAAAAGAGAUGGUAGUAUUACUAGCUACAAGCAAUUGAGUGUGAAAACAGGACCUUUGGAAGGAUUUUAUUUUAUUUUAUUUUUUUGGGCGCCUGAUGAACUUAAAUUAACCUUAAUGUAAAUAUGAGCUUUAUAUCAUAUCUUGUUAUUAGGGUGGGCGUGGGUUGGGUUUUGUCCCAACCCAACACGAUUGGUUUGAUUAGCAUUCAACCCAUCCCAACCCAUGUAAAGAUUGAAACCCAACCCCACCGAAUGUUGGUCGGGUCGGGUCGGGUUGGGUUGGUGGGUUCGGGACAACCUAUCAACAAAUAUUAAAGUUGCCAAAAUACUAAAUUAAAGCAUCAUUAAUAUAGUCUUUCAAUAUUAAUGAAUUUCAAAUAUAAAAUACUAUAGUUUAUAGGGCUGUCAAUGAAUUGGAUUUUGAUCUGAAUCUGAUAAUCUGCUAACUAAAUGAAUCAAAUAUGGAUAUAGGUCAACCCAAUCUACCAACAAUCUAAUCUGAUUUAUUAUAAUAAUAUAUUAUAUUUUUUAUAUUAUCGCAUAAUUUAUAACACUGUUUUUUCCAUUUUGAAAUUUGUAUCACACUUUAUAUCUAAUUUUUAAAUAAUAUAUAGUAUUAUAUAAUAGUAUAAUAUUUUUAAUUGAAAAUUUUGAAGAGAUUUAAUUUUUUAUUAAUUAAAAUAAAAUAAAACUAAUAAUUAAUUUAUUGAUUAGAUUUACUAUAGUAAUUUGUUUUAUAACAUAAAAAACUAACAAUUAAUAUGUCCCAAAUAAUUUACUUUGUUCAAAUUGAUAUAUUUGUAAUUAAAAUCUCAGGCUAUGAUUUUUAAUGAAAAUAAUAAAGUAAUUAGUAAAUAUUUAGAAUUAACAAAUGAUUAUGAUUAGUAUUCCACAUUGAAAGAUCACUAAAUCAUUAGAAAAUGAAAAUCCUUUAAAAAGCUAGUAUCCUAUAUCGGAAUAUCACUAAAAUAUUUCAAGAGGAGCAUCUUUUAAAUAGGAGUUAAUAUGAGCAUCACUUGGAUAAAAAAUUUGAUUUGGGCCUUCUAAUAUAAAAAAUGAGCCCAUCAAGAUAGUUCAAAUAUUUUUAAAAAUAAAUAAUUAAUUAAAAUCUUGUUUUAUUUUUCUAAUUUUUUCAAUUUCAAAUCGGAUUAUCGGAUCGGAUAUCCGAUAACAUAGCUAAUCGGAUUUGAAUUUAACAUUCAAAUAUUCGUUGGAUUAUUGGAUCGAUCGGAGCGGAUAAUUAUUCUUAACGGAUUUGAUCGGAUUUGAGCAGGUUCGAUCCGUUGGCAGUCCUAAUAGUUCAUCAAAUAUCCAUCAAAAUAAUUAUCCAAUAACAAUUACAUAUCUAAUAUAGCUAAUCGGAUUUGGAUUUAACAUUCAAGUAUCCAUCGGAUUAUUGGAUCGGAUCGGAGCGAAUAAUUAUUGUUAACUGAUCGGAUCAGAUUUGAGCAGGUCCGAUCCGUUGGCAGUCCUAAUAGUUCAUCAAAUAUCCAUCAAAAUAAUUAUCCAAUAACAAUUACAUAUCUAACAUAGCUAAUCGGAUUUGGAUUUAACAUUCAAGUAUCUGUCGGAUUAUUGGAUCGGAUCGGAGCGGAUAAUUAUUCUUUAUGGAUCGGAUCGGAUUUGAGCAGGUCCGAUCCGUUGGCAGUCCUAAUAGUUCAUCAAAUAUCCAUCAAAAUAAUUAUCCAAUAACAAUUACAUAUCUAACUACAAAGUUACAAUACUAAGGCAAAAAACGAUUGGCACUUGGCACAAACAAAAAUCUGUUGGCAGAAACUGUUGGAGGUUGCAAAAGAUGAAGAACUAAAUUAGAUUCGAAAUAUAACCCAUCAAGAGAAGGAAAACUACAUUGUAAACAGCCAUAUAUGCUUCAGCAAUCUGGUUUUAUCCAAUUGCUUAGUGAUAUCCCUUAGGUCAUUCAAAGAAUCCACACUUUGGCAGAGAAGUUGGCAAGCAUGAAACUGAAAUCAAAAUGCUCACCUCAGUAAUUUGAUUCCUAUAACCCAUAUUCUCUGUACCAACUAACCAUUAAAUAGCACACUGAACCCUAUUAAGACAGUAAUUUGAUUCCUAUAACCCAUAACUCCAUUAAUUCCUCACUGAUUUUUUAUAAAAAACCAAAAUAAUUGAAAUGCAAGUCAAUUCAUUUAUGGAACCAACAACAGAAAUUAUAUUCAGUAAGCACUAAAAGUAACAAAUCAAACAAAAAAAUGAAGAAAAAGGUAAAUAUUCUUGAUGGAUCAAGAUUUCAAGAAACUGAUUCAAAAGAACUUAAAUAUUCAUAUUAUUAAUUUGAACAUCACAUCAAGAAUUCACUAAUAAUAUAAUAAUCCUUGAGCCCAUUGCAUCAAAUGAAAGAAAAAUCAUUGCAAAUUAUUCUAAAGUUCCAGAAAUACAAGAAGAAUUAUUCCAAAAGGAAAAGAAGAUAAAAGAAAGUAGAAAAUUGAAAGAGAAAAUAAGCUAGAAUGAUGUCCAAAUUGCUAACUCUCUCCCUCUAUAGUUCUCUUCUUCGUCUCUUCAAGCUUGGACCACUCUAGCCACCACCUGUGCUAUGUACUUUACAGCUUGGAUAAAUCCCAAAGAGAAAGAUGACUUACCAUGUAAUAAAAUGAAGAUCGGCCGUCGGCAAGCAAAAAUGAACAUCGACCUUUGGCGUUGAAGAUUGACGGCAACUGAGGAGGACUAGGGCGGGAGAGCAAGGAAUGAAAGAAAAAAAAUUAGGGCUGCAGCUUCUUAACUCUUCUGUCUUCAUGCUUCAGUUUUUAAAUUGAGUAUUUUUUUUAUUUUUUACUAAUCGGGUCGAGGUGGGUUCGAUCGGGUUUUCUGGGUUAACCCAUCACCUGACCCGACUACUUUACUCACAAACCGAACCAGCUUAAAAAAUAAUAAUAAUAAAUUAAAAAAAAGACCCAACCGGGUCGGGUUUGGCGGGUUCGGUCGGGUUUUUCCCACCCCUACUUGUUAUAUCUAUAACUCAUGAACAUCCUGUUGUUUGUAUGGCUUGUAUGAUUCAUAUAUACUCUUUCAUUUCAUCAUGCUAACCUUACUGAAAGCUUUUGUCAAUUUCAAGUGCUAAUCUGAAGUUUCUGAUAGGCAUGUGCUAAAAGGAUCCAAGGUGAUGAAAGUGGGCACAAGCACUGUACUGGACAAUACUUUGAUUAUUGGCAGUGCGUUGACAAAUGUGUAAGGCCAUUUUCUUGUUUACAUUUAUUCCCUCGCCCCUCUUUCGGGUAUAUUUCAGUUUUAUGUUAAUAUUUUGUUCUGGUAGCUGCUGACAUCUAUCCUUUUAAUACGCAGGUUGCAACUAAGCUAUUUACAUAUCUUAAAUGACCGGGCAAGACCUCAAUGUUGUUCUGGCACCAGAAUACGUUUAGUCCAAAACCAAUUGGUUCAGUAUUAUUCUGUUUUUGUGAAAACUAUUUAUGCUUGUAUGCCUACUUAGAUAAAUGGCAUGUUGAACUAUGAAUUAUGAGCACUUCAUUGUGAUCAAUAAAAAAAAAAUUGUGGGAUUGAAUUUCAUUUGCUUUGGCAAUUAAUGAUGUAGCUUUUGUUCAACAAUUUCCUAUUUAGUGAUUUGGAAAAUUUUCGUUGUUAGCCUUAUCUGCAUACUAUUGCGAGAAUUUCCAUUGUUGCUCAUUUAUACGCUUUUAUCAUAGUAGUUGAGU
RNAcentral lists this long non-coding RNA (6793 nucleotides) under Olea europaea subsp. europaea. Lineage: Eukaryota; Viridiplantae; Streptophyta; Magnoliopsida; Lamiales; Oleaceae. The record is from RNAcentral.